AGGGGACAGAGGGUCCCCUUCUCUCCUUUACCACCUGUGUAGGCUUGAGUUCUGGUCGUUUACCCAGCCAGAAAUCAACUUGUGACUGAGAUGAGAGGUCACAGGAGGACGAAAAUCCUGGCUUUACUCUUCUUUACACAAAGAUGUCUUCCAUGAUCUGUGUGUUGUAUUUAAGUAACAAUAAAGGACAGUGAGCUGACCUUGAUACUGCAAUGAUUCUAUAGGUCUCCAGCGCAAUGUCCAUAUUGGCUGCAUUUGAUCAAAUUGAUCAAUAUUACGCAAUACUGCAUAUUUCUGUAUUAAACAUUUGUAUCAAA
This is a long non-coding RNA of Cottoperca gobio, 317 nucleotides long. RefSeq lists it as uncharacterized. The transcript has 2 exons. Lineage: Eukaryota; Metazoa; Chordata; Actinopteri; Perciformes; Bovichtidae. The record is from RefSeq and is a predicted model, not a curated record.